AAAUUGACCUCGGAUCAGGUAG
RNAcentral lists this ribosomal RNA (22 nucleotides) under Diaporthe henanensis. RNAcentral's name for it is "partial 28S ribosomal RNA". Lineage: Eukaryota; Fungi; Ascomycota; Sordariomycetes; Diaporthales; Diaporthaceae. The record is from RNAcentral.